GAGAAUAGCUCAGCUGGUUAGAGCAUCCGCCUGAUAAGCGGAAGGUCGAUGGUUCGAGUCCAUUUUUUCCC
This 71-nucleotide transfer RNA is filed under the name bovine gut metagenome. It matches the Rfam family "tRNA". Rfam says of the family: Transfer RNA (tRNA) molecules are approximately 80 nucleotides in length. Their secondary structure includes four short double-helical elements and three loops (D, anti-codon, and T loops). The record is from RNAcentral.